UGGGGAAUUUUGGACAAUGGGCGAAAGCCUGAUCCAGCAAUGCCGCGUGUGUGAAGAAGGCCUUCGGGUUGUAAAGCACUUUUGUCCGGAAAGAAAUCCUUGGCUCUAAUACAGUCGAGGGAUGACGGUACCGGAAGAAUAAGCACCGGCUAACUACGUGCCAGCAGCCGCGGUAAUACGUAGGGUGCAAGCGUUAAUCGGAAUUACUGGGCGUAAAGCGUGCGCAGGCGGUUUGCUAAGACCGAUGUGAAAUCCCCGGGCUCAACCUGGGAACUGCAUUGGUGACUGGCAGGCUAGAGUAUGGCAGAGGGGGGUAGAAUUCCACGUGUAGCAGUGAAAUGCGUAGAGAUGUGGAGGAAUACCGAUGGCGAAGGCAGCCCCCUGGGCCAAUACUGACGCUCAUGCACGAAAGCGUGGGGAGCAAACAGGAUUAGAUACCCUGGUAGUCCACGCCCUAAACGAUGUCAACUAGUUGUUGGGGAUUCAUUUCCUUAGUAACGUAGCUAACGCGUGAAGUUGACCGCCUGGGGAGUACGGUCGCAAGAUUAAAACUCAAAGGAAUUGACGGGGUCAUA
Molecule: ribosomal RNA, 575 nt
Filed under: uncultured bacterium
Lineage: Bacteria
Description: partial 16S ribosomal RNA
Rfam family: Bacterial small subunit ribosomal RNA
Source: RNAcentral